AUACGACACAAUUGUUUGUCAUAUGUUUACUUGAAUUAUGGUAUUUGCAAUACACCUUCCCUUUAAGCUCUUCGGCCUUGGGAAUGUUGUGACCAGGCCGAAGUUUGAUAAUCCUUGCUGACAACAGUUGAUCAAAAAUUGCGUCAGCCUUUGUAAUAUCAAAAGUAUACACUUUUGACGGUUUCAAUGUUCCUUCAGUGGCCGAGCGGCUUUUGACUUCCCUGGAGUCAA
Molecule: long non-coding RNA, 231 nt
Filed under: Malus domestica (apple)
Lineage: Eukaryota; Viridiplantae; Streptophyta; Magnoliopsida; Rosales; Rosaceae
Description: long non-coding RNA (MDOM_LNC010554)
Source: RNAcentral